GCCUAAAGCGUCCGUAGCCUGUUCUAUAAGUUUCCGGUUAAAUCCACUAGCUCAACUAAUGGGCUGCCGAAAAUACUGUAGAACUAGGGAGUGGGAGAGGUAGACGGUAUUCGGUAGGAAGGGGUAAAAUCCUUUGAUCUAUUGAGGACCACCUGUGGCGAAGGCGGUCUACCAGAACACGUUCGACGGUGAGGGAUGAAAGCUGGGGGAGCAAACCGGAUUAGAUACCCGGGUAGUCCCAGCUGUAAACGAUGCAGACUCGGUGAUGCGCUGGCUUGUGGCCAGUGCAGUGCCGCAGGGAAGCCGUUAAGUUUGCCGCCUGGGAAGUACGUACGCAAGUAUGAAACUUAAAGGAAUUGGCGGGGGAGCACCACAAGGGGUGAAGCCUGCGGUUCAAUUGGAGUCAACGCCAGAAAUCUUACCCGAAGAGACAGCAGAAUGAAGGUCAAGCUGGAGACUUUACCAGACAAGCUGAGAAGUGGUGCAUGGCCGUCGCCAGCUCGUGCCGUGAGAUGUCCUGUUAAGUCAGGUAACGAGCGAGAUCCCUGCCUCUAGUUGCCACCAUUACUCUCAGGAGUAGUGGGGCGAAUUAGCGGGACCGCCGCAGUUAAUGCGGAGGAAGGAAGGGGCCACGGCAGGUCAGUAUGCCCCGAA
This 654-nucleotide ribosomal RNA is filed under the name uncultured archaeon. RNAcentral's name for it is "bacterial SSU rRNA". It matches the Rfam family "Archaeal small subunit ribosomal RNA", at positions 508 to 1160 of the family's 1478-position model. The record is from RNAcentral.